RNAcentral lists this ribosomal RNA (481 nucleotides) under uncultured bacterium. RNAcentral describes it as "partial 16S ribosomal RNA". It matches the Rfam family "Bacterial small subunit ribosomal RNA", at positions 29 to 523 of the family's 1533-position model. The record is from RNAcentral.
ACGAACGCUGGCGGCGCGCCUAACACAUGCAAGUCGAACGAGCGAGAGAGAACUUGCUUUCUCGAGCGAGUGGCGAACGGGUGAGUAACGCGUGAGGAACCUGCCUCAAAGAGGGGGACAACAGUUGGAAACGACUGCUAAUACCGCAUAAGCCCACGACCCGGCAUCGGGUUGAGGGAAAAGGAGCAAUCCGCUUUGAGAUGGCCUCGCGUCCGAUUAGCUAGUUGGUGAGGUAACGGCCCACCAAGGCGACGAUCGGUAGCCGGACUGAGAGGUUGAACGGCCACAUUGGGACUGGGACACGGCCCAGACUCUUACGGGAGGCAGCAGUGGGGAAUAUUGCACAAUGGGGGAAACCCUGAUGCAGCGACGCCGCGUGGAGGAAGAAGGUCUUCGGAUUGUAAACUCCUGUUGUUGAGGAAGAUAAUGACGGUACUCAACAAGGAAGUGACGGCUAACUACGUGCCAGCCGCCGCGGUAA